This is a long non-coding RNA of Aethalodelphis obliquidens (Pacific white-sided dolphin), 1324 nucleotides long. RefSeq lists it as uncharacterized. The transcript has 3 exons. The record is from RefSeq and is a predicted model, not a curated record. NCBI's taxonomy places the organism in Eukaryota, Metazoa, Chordata, Mammalia, Artiodactyla, Delphinidae.
AUGUCCUUCCUCUUGCCUUCUUUUUCUUCAUAGCUCUUAUCAGGACGUGAUAGCCUAUUACAUACAACCUGUAUGCAUCUGCUUGUUGUUCACUUCCCCCACUAGAAGGUAAGCCUCGGGAGGGUGGGGCCCUCCUUUCUGACUCACCGCUGUUUCCCUUUAGUGCUGCGUGGCUCAUGGAGGGAACUCAGUUAAUAAUGAGAGAAAGAAUAGAUAAUGAAUGGACCACUUGGGCAAGCAGCCUGGCCUGAAUUUUCCUGAGGGCCCCAGCGCCUGCCUCAUUUCACCUCAUGUGCCUGACUCACCUUAGAGAAGUCACCUUGGCGACUAAGAGGGCAUUAGUGGGACCUGAUGGAGGCCGGGCGAGUGAUGAUGUUAGCGGCACGACAAGGAGGACUCUGGAGGGAAACGCCUUGGAGGAGUCUCUAUGCUGCCCUCUGGUGGUAUGUCGUGGAACAUCACAGACGAAGAACUGAGGCUGUCAACCUUGCGUGGGAAUUUAGAGAUUAUUAAGGAAAUCCCCUAAAUUCACAUCCCAGGGCCACGCAGAGAUCAGAUGGCAGAGUAGGAACAACGAAUUGGGUCACAAUCCGAUGCUUUCACUACUACACCAUCCUGUCUGUCCCCAUCACAGUUGAGAUUAUGCUGCAAAAGAGAAGGGUAUCAGCUGGAAAAACCUUCGGAGAGAGGUUUGGUUUAAUUCGACAAGUUAUUUGAGCCAGUGCUAGACACCUGGUGGGCAGUUAGUUAAAGAUUAGAGGGAGAAAACGUACAGUAAGAGAGCUUAAGUUUAUACCAAAACAAGUCUUUGGUCAGAUGAGUUUGAAACAUGAAAUUGGCAGAGGAGUUAGCACGGGUGUGCCCCUCCCUAAUUUAACUUUUAUUACAUUUUAUUGUCAUGAUUUAUUAAUACAUAUUUGUUUCCUCUCUAGACACAGAGCUCCUCGAGGGCAGGGAGGACUGAAACUUCUCCCUGAGAUUGUCACCAUCACCUAGCACCCCACACAGUAGAUGCUCAAUAAAUGACCAUUAUAUGGGUAAAUAGAUAAACAAAUGAGUCGUUUGGAGUUUCCCUGCCUAGAGAUCUUCAAAGGAGAGCAGAUAACCAACUCUUCUGUCUAGUCCAAAGACAUUAUUCGUCUGCCCAAAGGCUGAGGGCUGUGCCCAACGCUUUCUCAAGGUUGGAUGUUCCAGAAGCAGAUCCUGAGACAAAAAUUUAAGGAUCCCAGAAUGGGAGAAAUGUGGGUCUGAAUGUCCUUGUAACUCUGAGAGUUGCAUUUCCAACCCUCCACUGGCUGAGUUCCACAUCCCCAUGCAUAUGGGC